Molecule: ribosomal RNA, 407 nt
Filed under: Verrucomicrobiota bacterium
Lineage: Bacteria; Pseudomonadati; Verrucomicrobiota
Description: Verrucomicrobia bacterium partial 16S ribosomal RNA
Rfam family: Bacterial small subunit ribosomal RNA
Source: RNAcentral
UGGGGAAUAUUGGACAAUGGAGGGAACUCUGAUCCAGCAAUUCUGUGUGUGUGAAGAAGGUUUUAGGACUGUAAAACACUUUUAGUAGGGAAGAAAAAAAUGACGGUACCUACAGAAGAAGCAACGGCUAAAUACGUGCCAGCAGCCGCGGUAAUACGUAUGUUGCGAGCGUUAUCCGGAAUUAUUGGGCUUAAAGGGCAUCUAGGCGGUAAGACAAGUUGAAGGUGAAAACCUGUGGCUCAACCAUAGGCUUGCCUACAAAACUGUUGAACUAGAGUACUGGAAAGGUGGGUGGAACUACACGAGUAGAGGUGAAAUUCGUAGAUAUGUGUAGGAAUGCCGAUGAUGAAGAUAACUCGCUGGACAGAAACUGACGCUGAAGUGCGAAAGCUAGGGGAGCAAACAGG